Molecule: transfer RNA, 72 nt
Filed under: archaeon
Lineage: Archaea
Description: tRNA-Gly
Rfam family: tRNA
About the family: Transfer RNA (tRNA) molecules are approximately 80 nucleotides in length. Their secondary structure includes four short double-helical elements and three loops (D, anti-codon, and T loops).
Source: RNAcentral
GCGCCGGUGGUCUAAUGGCUAUGAUUUUGGCCUUCCAAGCCGACGAUCUGGGUUCAAAUCCCGGCCGGCGCA